This 253-nucleotide ribosomal RNA is filed under the name uncultured bacterium. Its description in RNAcentral is "partial 16S ribosomal RNA". It matches the Rfam family "Bacterial small subunit ribosomal RNA", at positions 524 to 776 of the family's 1533-position model. The record is from RNAcentral.
UACGUAGGAUGCAAGCGUUGUCCGGAUUAAUUGGGUUUAAAGGGUGCGUAGGCGGCCUAUUGAGUUAGGGGUGAAAACGUUCGGCUUAACCGUAUACCCGCCAUUGAUACUGAUAGACUUGAGUGCGACAGAGGGUGUUGGAAUGUGUGGUGUAGCGGUGAAAUGCUUAGAUAUCACGCAGAACACCAAUUGCGAAGGCAGAUGCCUAUGUCGUAACUGACGCUGAGGCACGAAAGCGUCGGGAGCAAACAGG